RNAcentral lists this long non-coding RNA (1508 nucleotides) under Cyanistes caeruleus (blue tit). RNAcentral describes it as "lncRNA (ENSCCEG00000011525.1)". The record is from RNAcentral. Lineage: Eukaryota; Metazoa; Chordata; Aves; Passeriformes; Paridae.
ACCGAAGUCCUUCCCACGUCUCCUCCCGCCUCCUCCGGCCUCCCCCGCCCGCCGGGCCGAGCGGGCCGGUCCCGCGGGGCCGGACGCGGGCAGCCGUGUGGGUAGAGCCGCGGGGCCGUUGGGAGCCGGUUCCCGAGGAGCUGCCGCUGCCCCGGCCCGUGCCCGCGGGGCACCUGUUUGCCCUGGGGUGUGUCUGCACCCAGCCGGGAAUAAACGGGGUCUUGGGCCUCCCAGGAGCGGGUGACCAGAUUUCCCUCCUACGUUUUCACCCGUGAUUUGUCAUCGGUGGCGUCGUCCUUGUCCGAGCACAGCACAGCCGGAGCUGUGUGGGCUGAGCACUGCCCUGCGCCCCAGGCCUCGCCCGGUGGCUGCCCCGGCUCGCAGGUGCUGCCAGGAGUCAUCUCUGGCUUAGGCGCUGCCUGGGCGCGACAGCCACACACCGCACCGGGGAGCUCAGCCCGUACAACUCCUUCAUAUCAUAUCUCUGUGCAUGUUGUUUGUGGAAACUUCUGCAAGGCAGCUCACGUGAUGAAAAACCCCAAUCUCUUAUCAGGUUUGGAUGGAAGAUCAGGACAUGGCCACGUACAUGUACAUGUUUGUCUCCCACAAGAUGACAGACUGAUGGCAGCAUCCUGCUCCUUUAGUCAUGGUAAAAAUGCAUAGCAAGAGGAAGAAGAACUUCCUGCAGUGAAGAGACUGCAUUUAAAUGGAUGAUACAGACCCAGGGGAUAGGUGAGAAAGUGUAUGAUAUUAAUUUAUUAUAUUGGUCAUGCUUCUUGGGCUGCUUCACCUGCAUGGGGUUCAGCACCAGUAAAUUCUUCUGGGUGACAGCUGGCUUGACCUUGAGGUGUCUUUCAGAAAGCCCUUACACAAAGAAGAAAACUAAUUUAACAUCUGGAAACAUGAUGGAAAAUUAUUGAUGUUUUCUCAGAGGGUGGAAGUCCUCUCCCCAGAUGACAGGGAGGGGCCAGGAAAGCAGAGUGAAGGCUCGACUUCCCCACAGAAGGAGCUCAGAAAUCAGCCUCUGUGCUCACCCAAGCCUUGGCUUUGAACAAGAGGAGGGAAGGGGAAGAGUGGCCAGAUCCAGGAGCAGGGGUGCUCCCUCAGCCCCUAGGGUAACCCCUGGCUGUAAUGCCUGUUCUGGACAUGAACGGUUCUGUACAUGAAGGCACAAUUCUUCCUUCCUGUUAACAACUUUUUAUUUUUUAAAAUACAUUCCUGAUGCUAUUUGAAUAAUAAUGGCAAUAGAAUAAUUUACAUUUAUGUUUCACUUUUUUGUAAACUUUUUGGAGGCUUUUCUUUCCUCCACUUUUUGUUGCUUACAGGGGAAAAUAUAAAAAGAAAGUAUUGACUUUUGAGCCUAACCUAGGAUUAUGACAACUUCUAGUUAUCCAGUGCAGACAUUUAGCACAGUUUACUGCACAGUCACCCAGUGCUGUUGCGGCAAAGUUUCAUAAGAGCUGCAACUGCAAUUACAAAACAGAUGUGACACUCUAGCUUACGUAGAG